CCCUUAGAUGUUCUGGGCCGCACGCGUGCUACACUGAGUGGAUCAGCGGGUCAGGUUGCGCGAAAGUGUUUCCUAAUCUUGAAAUCCGCUCGUGAUGGGGAUUGACGGUUGCAAUUUUCCGUCAUGAACGAGGAAUACCUUGUAAGCGCGGGUCAUCAUCCCGCGCUGAAUACGUCCCUGCCCUUUGUACACACCGCCCGUCGCUCCUACCGAUUGAGUGGUCCGGUGAGGCUUUGGGAUCUGAGCAAAGAGAGCGUUUCGCUCGUUUUGCCCGGAAAACUCAGUCGAACCUUAUCAUUCAGAGGAAGGAGAAGUCGUAACA
This 322-nucleotide ribosomal RNA is filed under the name uncultured eukaryote. RNAcentral's name for it is "partial 18S ribosomal RNA". It matches the Rfam family "Eukaryotic small subunit ribosomal RNA", at positions 1470 to 1796 of the family's 1831-position model. The record is from RNAcentral.